CCUUAGUGGUCAAAAUGUACUGAAUAAUGGUGAUGGGGAGAAGACCAGAAGAUUAUUUGCAUAGUGAUGAUGCUCUGCAUAGACAGCACAUGCUUCAGUGGUCUGGGAGUAUUUAUAUCCCUGUGAGUUGAACACUUCAUGACUGAGAGCUGUCCUUCAUGACAACAGAACCCACAACAACCAUGACUUUUACCACCAUCUUCAUCUGGACACUUGCUUUCUGCUUCAAGGAAUCCAGAGGACAGAUCACUGUGACUCAGACUCCUGCACUGAAAGCUGUUCUACCAACACAGACAGUCUCUCUGAACUGUAAAACCAGCAGUGAUGUGUAUCCUGACUGUUGGGGUACAGGUAAACCAUGUUUAGCCUGGUAUCAACAAAAACCUGGAGAAACUCCUAAACUACUGGUCUACUAUGGAAGCACCCUCUUCUCUGGGACUCCAUCUAGAUUCAGUGGCAGUGGAUCUGGGAGUGACUUCACUCUGACCAUCAGUGGAGUCCAGGCUGAAGAUGCAGGAGAUUACUACUGUCAGAGUUACCACAGUGGUGGAGUGUUCACACAGUGA
Non-coding RNA from Coregonus clupeaformis (lake whitefish), 566 nucleotides. Lineage: Eukaryota; Metazoa; Chordata; Actinopteri; Salmoniformes; Salmonidae. The record is from the annotation of a RefSeq genome assembly.